CAUUACAGUUUAUCUCGCUAGUCGUCUAUAGCUAGCCAGCCUCUCUCUAGUCCUCAACCCAUCCCAAAUCUUCUUUGGUUCCUCCCGGCGAGAGUUCCAGCCUAGCCCUCUGGCGGCCGCCGCUAGGGCCAGGGCCUGAUGGCUACGGUGUGCGCUGGACCCUGCGGCGCGUUGGAGCAUGGUGGCCGACAGCCGACAGAAAGAGUGAUCGAUACCUCCCCGUUAUUUACCUUUGAUCUUCCGUUUCCCGAUCUGGUUCUUCAUCCUUUUGUGUUUUUGUUGGAUGAAUCUAGUCAUUGGGUGCUGUUGCUCGCAGGCUGCGGCCAUGGAAGAUCCUGGAGGAAGAUUGACGCCAGCGGAUGCCGAUCUUGUACAGAGCAAUCGAGGAUCCCGUCCCACAGCGCUGACCUGACGGCCUACCCUGUCAGUAGCCUCGCUCAUGCGGGCGUUACAGUUCGUCUCGCCCGUCUAUACCAUGGGAUCGGAGGCCAGGACGCCAUUUCCAAAUUUCCAAGCAUGGUGGCUGGAGCGUGAUGUAGGCGUUCCAGGUUUCACGUCACUUCUUCAUAGACCUGGUAGACGGGGAGUAGGAGGAGCAGGAGAUGUGGGUUUCGCAGUGGUGAUGGCUGCAGCCAUGGGACGUUAGGAUGAUCUCGGUGGGAGAUUGACGCUAGCGCGGAUGCCGAUCUUCUCUUGAGCCCCAUGAGGUUUGCCUUAAACUGUUGGGUCUAGUGCACAUUCUAUGGUCAGAGCUGCCGCCUUUUAGCAGGUGGAACUGAAACUUGUACCCAAGUUUCCAUGUCCAUGACAGCACCAUACCGUAGUAAACUUUUCUUUUUGAUAGCAAGAUAGGAGGAAUCUGAAGUCGUACUUGAAGCUUGGCGACAAGAGCUAACAUGCUUUGGAUAACUAAUAUCAUAAUAUAGUACAUGGAAUGAUUCUGCAAUAUUCUUGGUAGGUGGCAUAGGUACUAGCAAGGCCAAAAUGAAGGCAGUUGCCAUUAGCAGAGAGACAAGCGUUGUCAUGUUCUCUUACAUAGGCACUCAAUGAAGCUUAAUCUUAAUUAUCAACAUACGGGCAGUGUUGCUCGAUCAUGUGGGCCUAGCUUGUCAUGCCUUAUCUUCCACACUUCUACGUCGGUGCAUGGCAUAAGGGGAUAUGAAUGGCCAUAUGUUCAUCUGUGUGGGGGAAAAUCCUCAUAGGGCUGAAAAUUUUAACAUCUCUCUGUGGACCCAGGAGAAUUCCAUGGGGCCUACCCUUGCCUCCAACUGCUCCCAUAGCCUACUUUGUUGGUGUGUGAUCACUGUCGCUUGCGCUACUCCAAGAGUUGCGAUGUCCCGCUGUAUAGGACAGGAAUACCAUGGCAUGUGAGCUAAUAGCUGGUAAGUCUUGGUGGUAUCUAGUCAUUUCCAGCGGAUGGAGUCUAGCUAGUGACCCUAGAUGGGGCAUACCAAAAUCCCAAUAUAAUUAUCGAGCGGUACCUAGUUUCCGAGCGGGUCGGGUCAAACUGGUGUCUCUCAAGGGUAAUAUUCUGAGGAUUCAUUUCAGAACCAGAACACAAGUUGUGAUGCUUCAGUCAUGAGUUGUUCGGUAGCCGACUGGUGUCUUGCUGGAGGCGGAAAUUAGCUUCCCGUCACAUGCACUAUUCGAGUGGUCCUAGACCCCUUGAGGUCAACUAUCGGAACCCUCAAUCGGCAAUACUUGGGUCUCGAGUGCCCAAUUCUCGAAUGGUUGUCUAUUGGAGGCGUAUUGUAUUUGCAUUGAUUUUGGUGCGUAGUCGCGAAUGUCGCACCCAUGAAGGUCAACCAUUGAAACCCCAAUUCAAACAAGCACAAGGGCGGGAAUGGUCAUGAGGUCCACGCAGUCUUCGGGCAAACUAUUGUGAGGAAGCAGUCAUUGAACGAUCUCCAUGUCUUCAAUUGAGCAAGCAUUAAGGUGGAAUGACGUGUCAUUAAAAUCACAAUGGGAUCUAUAGUGGAGGGGCCACAUUACAUCUUUAGUUUUCAGUUUCAAAGGGCCUCAACCCUCAGGAAUGAGGUGCGGCAUGACAUGGGACCACUUGCAGCUUUUUCAUGUUUUCAUGGUGUGUGGCGAAGUGGAUCGCCAUCUUGGUUUCCCCCUCUAUAAAGUAGAGGGGCGGGGGUAAAAGUAAAAGGUAAUUUAGCCAGUUGUCAAUUUUGCUUCCACUCGCCAUGUGCUCUAGGCAACAAGCUUGUGCGACCAACAUACUGACGCUUGGUUUUCUUUCUUUAAUUUGUGCCCGCCCUGCCCCAUAGAGCCCACUCUCAUGUUCCUUCCAUUGAUUCCAAAUCUUCCUAGAUCUGGGCCGCCACUAUCGAAUUCAAUCCUUCCUCAAUGAAGAGGGAGUGCUUGAGGAGAAGUUUGUGGUGCCAUAGUCUUGGCCCAGGAGGAGCUUCAAGCAGUGGCGAUGGUGGCAUCAAUGAAAUCCACUAUGGCAAAGGAGGCGACAGGAGGGCUUAUCCCCAAGGGCAUGCUCCAAUGGUGAGCUACUCUUGGAUGGCUUUCCCCACUCCUGAAUGAAUGUUCCAUUGAUUGCACUCAUAUCUAAAACUCGCGGCUCUAGAUCUAGGACGCCAUAGUCUGGGACAACAAGGAGGAGCUUCAAGUAGUGGCGAUGGCGGAAUGGAUGAAAUCCACUGUGAUAGAGCAGGCAACAGGAGUGCUUCUCCCCAAGGGCAUGCUCCAGUGGUGAGCUACUCCGGGGUGUCUUUCCCCACCCCCGACACGGAUGAGGUUAUUGUCCACACACCCAUCUUGAAUCUUCAACAAGGGCUGGCACACAGAGUUGUUUUACCGCUCCAAGUUACCACCCUCCCUCUCGUGUGGAGAGCGAGCUGGAAUGAACUUCUGGGGGAUUUGGAAGAGGCUGAAUUUCAAGUCGUUCAGGCACAUCUCUCACAUGUGCUUUAGUAGGGAAACACCAGGGUUGGAAUGAUCUCAACCUUCAUUGAUCGGCGGAUAUAGACCAUUAAGCAAAGGAUUCACCUAAUGUUUGAGCUGACCAGGCUUGAUGAUAUGACUCGAGAGGUAGAAGCCAGAUCCUCAAAGGAUGCUUUGAUACCCUAAGUUAGGAGAUUGUUGAAAGCUGACAUUGUCAUUACCAAUGCACCCCAUCAGGGCCUUUCCAGUCAGUUAUUGUUUUUCUUUUGAUAUGGACAUCAGCAAUUUAAGUAGUCGCCGAGUGGAAAUCUUCACUUGCCCGCACCUUCUGGUUUCGUAGUUUCUGGAGACCUUCAUCUCUAGGCUCCCCUACCCAAAAACAAGGGAAACGGCCAAGGUUCUUAAAUGGUGCAAGCACGCAAGGUGUAGGUGCCUCCGGCAUUGGUGAUAACAUAGGCGACGCGGCUCAGGCGAAGGAGAAGUAGAAACAUGUAGAUGGCUCCCAUGUUCAAAGACGGUGCGACUCCUCUAUUUGUCUUGCCUGGGUUGUACCAACUGUCGCUAAGAUAUAGAAAACUAAUGCACCACUGGGUAGGAUCGGUGCAGCUCUGGUGAAGGGUAAUUCCUCAACAUCACCAACGACGAAGGUUGCCUCCAAGGUGGCGCGGUCUACCAGGUAAGUUGCCAAGUACAGACCUGGGUCUCGUACUCUGUCAUCCAUUGGCAGCACGGAAUGAUACUGGUCUUGUUGUGAUUUUGGUAGUCUAGCAAAGAGGGGGGCUCGUACCGACACAUUGAGUGACGAAUGGUCCAGUCAAGAUGUUGGCAUGCCAGAGCCAAUUGUUAUGCCAUUGUCAUCCCCGAGCCUCUUGAGUUCCUUCUCUACUAUGUACCACUCAGCCACACAAUAGUUUGUCGAGCUCAAAGGGCUAGGAGAGUGUCCUUAAUUCUGAUCAGGGCACCAGUGCAAAGGGGUUGGACAUCAUGCCUCCAUCCAAUCAGAUGGAGAGGUAAGGUACCUAGCCGAUCAAGGAUUGAUGGGAUGAACUAUAGUUACCUCCAUCGCCCAGCAAGUUGGUGGGGCUCUCAUCCGUCUAAUGUCCAACAGGAAGAAGCACCAUUGGCUCUGCCACCGUACCACAAGAUGGAAGUGCACACGUGGGACCCCAUCGCUCACUCAUCAAACAGAAGUGUUGGGAGCAUCCCCCUCCACUAUAGUAGAGUGGACACAAGAUACUGGUGGUAGCUUGCUGGAUUCACCCAUCAUCUUCCCUCGGGGUGAUCAUUUCAGGAUCUUGAAAUGAAUCAAUAUGAUAGGAGCCGAGUCAUGUGGGUGGCGACCAGCGAGGAGGCGAAGCAAUUAGAACUCCAUCGGCUCACUCCCGAUCAUGUUGGAGACCGCGAAGGAGUGCACCAACUUGGUGAAGAGAAAGUUCUAGCCUGUCACGGAGGUAUGCUCUCUUAGCUUGUAUAUUUCACACUUGGGCCGCAGAAGAUCGCGCGGCAAGCUCGAGGAGGAGUUCGAGUCAAUGAGGAUGCACAAUAGGAUCCUUAAGGAAGAGAAGGUUGAGACCGUGAGUGGACUAAAGAAAGCGCAAGAGAUUGCCAAAGGUAAGCCCUUUACUCAUGUCAUGCUUAGCCACGAGUUGCUAUGGGUGUUGAUCAAAGUUUUGAAUAGCUAGCUAUCGCCCCACUAUAGCAGUCUGAGCAGGGCGCACUAAAUAAUCGACUAUUUGCUUCACGCACAAUUGUCCAAUAAAGUUACGAUAUAGCUGAUUUGGAGGACCAUCGCUAUUUGUCAUAGCCCACCUUUUAAAACAAUGGUGUUCAUGGUAUGUGAAUGUACUUUGUAGAGGCCAACCACGUGAUAAAGGUCUUGAAUGCGAUUGUUGAGAUACCUUAUGCUCCCCUCUUGGGGGGGCUAAGUGAAAUUCGUAGAGAUUUUUUGGAUCACCUCUAGCAGGUGCUUAGGCGGGUAAAAGAGCUGAAGGACGUGAACCGGGUAGUUUGCAGUGCCCUCUAGGAGCGCGGAUCAACGCCUGAUUGUGUGGACACGAUCAUAAGCCUCAUGUACUAUGGGCCCAAGUAGGUGAUGAGGUGAAGAAGCUGUAAAGGGUGGCUUUCGAGAAGGUUCCCACGUGGCGCUUAUUGUAGCAAGUCCCACUACCAUGCGAUCCCGCUGAUGGAAAUGGUGAUGGCUUCACUGUUGAGUUCCCCGAGGAGAAUGUCGAGGCCUUGUUGAAGUAGACUAAUUCUGAUGAUGAUUUUAUUGAUGGCAAGUCUAAAUAGGGUAUGACAUAAUGAGUGCUAAGGUUAUUGAUGGUCUUAACCUGAGAUCUAUCAAAACCUUUGUUAAGCGCUGCUAUUGAUAGUCAAACUCAUGUAACAAUGGUUAAAUCUCAAGACCACGGUGUUGUUGAUUAAAUCAAGUGUCUUGGUGUAGAAUACUAACAAGAGGAACCAUGACAGGUAGAACAUCAAGAACAAGUUGUGAUGUCAUUUCUAAAAACAAACCUGAUUUUAUUGGGUUCUGAGAGACAAAGAGGCAAAUCAUUUAUGAUGGUUUCCUGUCUAGUGUAAAAACAAACCUAGCUCUUUUGGAAGAUGAGGAUAGAUGUGUUUAUGACAUUGAGGAGAUGAUGGCAGUGGCCACUAACUAACACCUGACUUUCAUUGGGUAGCCCUUUCUGGUCACAUGAUGAGCUUGUCAGCAAGGAAUAGAAUGAAGCUUUGGAAAAACCCUUCUUUGAGAAAGUAAUCUAGAAAGCUAUCAUUGGCAUAUAUGCACAUGUGGCUCCUAGCCCUUACGACCUAACUUAUGUUUCUAUCAAACCAUUUAGUAUUUGAUUGAGAAUGAUUUCAUGGCUCUUGUUAGAAGUGUUCAAAAUUGCGAAUUUGAUAUGUCUACACUUAUUUUUUCUCUCAUCAUCUUGAUUCCCAAAGAGACCAAUGCUAAGAAUCUUUAGGCCCAUUAGUUUGAUCAAUUGCUCUGUUAAGAUUUUUAAAAAAGAUAUGAUAACAAGGGUUUCCCCUGCGGAAGAAAGCCUUUAUUCCCUAAUCAGAAUGUUUUUAUAGGCAUAUUCAUUUUUACAGAGUGUUGUUAGUGCGCAUGAACUUAUUCAUGAGUUUCAUAGACCUGGAUUUGAAGGUAUAUAUAUUUAACACUAUAUUAUGAGAAAGCCUAUGUUAGUGCCGCUGGGACUUCCUUGUGAAUAUGCUAACCACCAGAGGCUUUGCAAGUAAACGGAUUAGUUGGAUAUACAAUACUAUUGCUCGAAGUUCUUUUUAUGUGAGAUUAAAUGAGGUAAAUGGACAAUACAUUAUGGGUGGAAAAGGCCUUAAGCAGGAGGAUCCUCUCUCCCCCAUUUCAUUCAAACUAGUAGGUGACUUGUUUUCAAAAUACAUGCAAAAGCCAUUAGUUGUGUGAUCAUAUCUUGAUCAUGUCAUCAGCCUCUAGUACACUGAUGGAAACAUCCUAUUCAUUGGUCCCUCCAUUGAUAAUGCAAGAACCCUUAAGGGUUGUUUUCCUUCUUUGAUAUGUUGUCGGACAUGAAAAUCAACUUUAACAAAAGUGACCUAGUUACUAUUAAUAUGGAUGAAGAACAUUAUUCUAAGAUCUUUUCUCGAAUUUUCUACUGCAAGAUGAUUUCCUUUCCUCUUAAGUAUCUUGGGUUUCCCUUGCAUUUUACCAAACGUAGGAGGGAAGAUCUCCAACCUAUUGUAGACAAGGUCAUUACAAAUAUUCCUUCUGUGAAAUAUAAAACACUGAACUAUGAUGGGAAGCUUGUGCUUCUCGGAAUUAUUAUUGCUACCAUUCUAAUGUAUUUAAUGUAAAUUCUAAGUUCCCUAAUGAGUGAAAAAUGUUAUCACUUCUAAGAUGUCUCAUUUCUUUGGGGUAAAUUUGGAGUUUCACAUCAAUACCACGUAGCUAUUUGGGGACGUAUCUCUCAUUGUACGGAUUUUGGUGGGAUGGGGGUACCUAAUCGGAGAGCCCUUAAUUUUGCCUUCUUAUCCUCUUGGCUUGGUGGUGAUAAGAACUACCAAGUCCCUGGUGGAUAGAACCUCCUAAAAUAUUGACCAGUUUAUGAUUUGAGGUGUUUGUCAUGGGGGAAAUGAAACUACACAACACCUCAUUUUUUAUUUGCAUGCUCUUUUGGUCUUGCAUUUAUGAGAGUUUUGAGUGUGAUAGGCCUUAGUGAAUGGUUGGUAUUUCAAAUGUCUGGACUCCUUGGAAAAAAUGAUGUUUGCAGUAUGUUUGAUGUUGCUUCCUUGUGGAGUAUUUGGACCUUACGUAUUGAGAUAUCUUCCCACGGAAACGUAUGGUCAGAUGGCAGGUAUUUCUAGGAAGAAUGAGCAUGUGGCUUCAUGAUUGGGAGAUCAUGUGCGAUAGUACACAACUACCAUGUUGGAUCGUUGAAGAGGCAAGCUCCUUAGAAUCUCAUGGGAAGGAUCCUACCUGUGGUGAAACUGAUGAAUAGUGACAUAUCUUCCUAUGUGCCAUAACCAACUGGUUUGAGGUCACUGAGAAAUGCAUUUGGUGAUGUAGUUUGCACGUUGUGUAUCCUGAUGUCUCUAGUUUUCGUUUCCUUGUGGCUUGUAAGAAAUCCUAUAUGGUUUUCUUAAAUUCCGGUGCAGCUACUUUCCUCUUUUUC
This is a long non-coding RNA of Triticum aestivum (bread wheat), 7553 nucleotides long. RefSeq lists it as uncharacterized. NCBI's taxonomy places the organism in Eukaryota, Viridiplantae, Streptophyta, Magnoliopsida, Poales, Poaceae. The record is from RefSeq and is a predicted model, not a curated record. The transcript is spliced from 4 exons.